UCCUCCGUCGGACUUCGCUCAUGGAGUGU
Molecule: small RNA, 29 nt
Filed under: Bombyx mori (domestic silkworm)
Lineage: Eukaryota; Metazoa; Arthropoda; Insecta; Lepidoptera; Bombycidae
Description: piRNA piR-bmo-1789362
Source: RNAcentral